This 941-nucleotide ribosomal RNA is filed under the name Hypomyces semitranslucens. Its description in RNAcentral is "LSU rRNA". It matches the Rfam family "Eukaryotic large subunit ribosomal RNA", at positions 1 to 984 of the family's 3401-position model. Lineage: Eukaryota; Fungi; Ascomycota; Sordariomycetes; Hypocreales; Hypocreaceae. The record is from RNAcentral.
UCGGGGAAAUUGAAAAACUAGCAUAUCAAUAAGCGGAGGAAAAGAAACCAACAGGGAUUGCCCCCAGUAACGCGCGAGUGAAGCGGCAACAGCUCAAAUUUGAAAUCUGGUCCUUACGGGCCCGAGUUGUAAUUUGUAGAGGAUGCUUUUGGUGAGGCGCCGCCUGAGUUCCCUGGAACGGGACGCCAUAGAGGGUGAGAGCCCCGUCUGGCUGGAUGCCGAGCCUCUGUAAAGCUCCUUCGACGAGUCGAGUAGUUUGGGAAUGCUGCUCAAAAUGGGAGGUAUAUGUCUUCUAAAGCUAAAUAUUGGCCAGAGACCGAUAGCGCACAAGUAGAGUGAUCGAAAGAUGAAAAGCACUUUGAAAAGAGGGUUAAAUAGUACGUGAAAUUGUUGAAAGGGAAGCGCUCAUGACCAGACUUGGGCUUGGUGAAUCAUCCGGCGUUCUCGCCGGUGCACUUCGCCUCGUCCAGGCCAGCAUCAGUUCGCUUCGGGGGAUAAAGGCUUUGGGAACGUGGCUCCUCCGGGAGUGUUAUAGCCCAUUGUGUAAUACCCUGAGGUGGACUGAGGUUCGCGCUCCGCAAGGAUGCUGGCGUAAUGGUCAUCAGCGACCCGUCUUGAAACACGGACCAAGGAGUCGUCUUCGUAUGCGAGUGUUCGGGUGUCAAACCCCUACGCGUAAUGAAAGUGAACGCAGGUGAGAGCUUCGGCGCAUCAUCGACCGAUCCUGAUGUUCUCGGAUGGAUUUGAGUAAGAGCAUACGGGGCCGGACCCGAAAGAAGGUGAACUAUGCCUGUAUAGGGUGAAGCCAGAGGAACUCUGGUGGAGGCUCGCAGCGGUUCUGACGUGCAAAUCGAUCGUCAAAUAUGGGCAUGGGGCGAAAGACUAAUCGAACCUUCUAGUAGCUGGUUUCUGUUGAGCUUCUCCUUCCGGCAGGGAAAAAA